GAUGAACGCUAGCUACAGGCUUAACACAUGCAAGUCGAGGGGUAACGUGAGUGAAGCUUGCUUUGCUUGACGACGACCGGCGCACGGGUGCGUAACGCGUAUCCAACCUUCCCCAUGCUAGGGAAUAGCCCGUUGAAAGACGGAUUAAUGUCCUAUGAGAUGCGAAGAUGGCAUCAGAUUUGCAUUAAAGAUUUAUCGGCAUGGGAUGGGGAUGCGUAGGAUUAGGUAGUCGGCGGGGUAACGGCCCACCGAGCCAUCGAUCCUUAGGGGUUCUGAGAGGAAGGUCCCCCACACUGGUACUGAGACACGGACCAGACUCCUACGGGAGGCAGCAGUGAGGAAUAUUGGUCAAUGGGCGAGAGCCUGAACCAGCCAAGUAGCGUGCAGGAUGACGGCCUUAUGGGUUGUAAACUGCUUUUAUGAGGGGAUAACGUGUGGCACGUGUGCCAUAUUGCAGGUACCUCAUGAAUAAGGACCGGCUAAUUCCGUGCCAGCAGCCGCGGUAAUACGGAAGGUCCGGGCGUUAUCCGGAUUUAUUGGGUUUAAAGGGAGCGUAGGCGGUACUAUAAGCGUGACGUGAAAUGUUUUGGCUCAACCAUGACACUGCGUCGCGAACUGUUGUACUUGAGUAUGCUGAAAGGCGUGCGGAAUUCGUGGUGUAGCGGUGAAAUGCUUAGAUAUCACGAGGAACUCCGAUUGCGAAGGCAGCUCGCUGCGGUUUUACUGACGCUGAAGCUCGAAGGCGCGGGUAUCGAACAGGAUUAGAUACCCUGGUAGUCCGCGCGGUAAACGAUGGAUGCCCGCUGUGUGGCCAUUUCGGUUGCGCGGGCCAAGCGAAAGCGUUAAGCAUCCCACUGGGGAGUACGCCGGCAACGGUGAAACUCAAAGGAAUUGACGGGGGCCCGCACAAGCGGAGGAACAUGUGGUUUAAUUCGAUGAUACGCGAGGAACCUUACCCGGGCUUGAACUGCAGCAGAACGAUUCAGAGAUGAUGAGGCCCUUCGGGGCUGCUGUGGAGGUGCUGCAUGGUUGUCGUCAGCUCGUGCCGUGAGGUGUCGGCUUAAGUGCCAUAACGAGCGCAACCCCUUUCUUCAGUUGCCAUCAGGUUAUGCUGGGCACUCUGUAGAUACUGCCGCCGCAAGGUGGAGGAGGGUGGGGAUGACGUCAAAUCAGCACGGCCCUUACGUCCGGGGCUACACACGUGUUACAAUGGGCGGUACAGUGAGUCGGUGCGUGGUGACGCGCAUCCAAUCCUGAAAGCCGUUCCCAGUUCGGAUUGGGGUCUGCAACCCGACCCCAUGAAGCUGGAUUCGCUAGUAAUCGCGCAUCAGCCAUGGCGCGGUGAAUACGUUCCCGGGCCUUGUACACACCGCCCGUCAAGCCAUGAAAGCCGGGGGCGCCUGAAGUCCGUGACCGCGAGGGUCGGCCUAGGGUGAAACCGGUGAUUGGGGCUAAGUCGUAACAAGGUAGCCGUACCGGAAGG
This 1483-nucleotide ribosomal RNA is filed under the name uncultured bacterium. RNAcentral describes it as "bacterial SSU rRNA". It matches the Rfam family "Bacterial small subunit ribosomal RNA". The record is from RNAcentral.